GGGAGGGCAAGUCUGGUGCCAGCAGCCGCGGUAACUCCAGCUCCAGAAGCGUAUAUUAAAGUUGUUGCAGUUAAAAAGCUCGUAGUUGGAUCUGGGUCGCAUGGUUACGCGUCGUUGGUUGUAUGCUUGGCCUGGUUGCGACUGGGUCAGUGUGCGACUCGAUGUUGUGAUUGUGCAGCCUUUCUGCCGUGUCUGUUUCUACAGGUGCUGGCUGGGUUAGCAGGUUCGCCCUGUUGACUCGUUGGCAUGCUCCCAGAUGCCCUUAAACGGGUGUCGGGGGCGGACGGCACGUUUACUUUGAACAAAUUUGAGUGCUCAAAGCAGGCCUGUGUGCCUGGAAAUUCUUGCAUGGAAUAAUGGAAUAGGACUUCGGUUCUAUUUUGUUGGUUUUCGGAUCCGAAGUAAUGGUUAAGAGGGACAGACGGGGGCAUUUGUAUGG
RNAcentral lists this ribosomal RNA (439 nucleotides) under Megasolena sp. ZL-2012. RNAcentral describes it as "SSU rRNA". It matches the Rfam family "Eukaryotic small subunit ribosomal RNA", at positions 549 to 899 of the family's 1831-position model. The record is from RNAcentral. Lineage: Eukaryota; Metazoa; Platyhelminthes; Trematoda; Plagiorchiida; Haploporidae.